CCUACGGGCGGCAGCAGUGAGGAAUAUUGCUCAAUGGGCGCGAGCCUGAUCCAGCCAAGUCGCGUGAAGGAUGACUGCCCUACGGUUUGUAACCUUCUUUUAUAAAGGAAUAGAGUGAUUCACGUUUGCCUUUUUGUAUGUACUUUCUGAAUAAGGGUCGGCUAACUCCGUGCCAGCAGCCGCGGUAAUACGGAGGGUCCGUGCUUUGUCAGGAUUUAUUGGGUUUAAAGGGAGGGUAGAGGGGUUGUUAAGUGAGUUGUGAAAGUUUGCGGUUCAACCGUAAAAUUGCAAUUGAUACUGGCAGCCUAGAGUACAGUAGGGGUGGGCGGAAUUCGUGGUGUAGCGGUGAAAUGCUUAGAUAUCACGAAGAACUCCGAUUGCGAAGGCAGUUCACUGGACUGCAACUGACACUGAGGCGCGAAAGUGUGGGUAUCAAACAGGAUUAGAUACCCGAGUAGUC
This 460-nucleotide ribosomal RNA is filed under the name uncultured bacterium. RNAcentral describes it as "partial 16S ribosomal RNA". It matches the Rfam family "Bacterial small subunit ribosomal RNA", at positions 338 to 795 of the family's 1533-position model. The record is from RNAcentral.